This 1896-nucleotide ribosomal RNA is filed under the name Triticum aestivum (bread wheat). RNAcentral describes it as "partial small subunit ribosomal RNA". The record is from RNAcentral. Lineage: Eukaryota; Viridiplantae; Streptophyta; Magnoliopsida; Poales; Poaceae.
AUGGGACUGCAUGGCAGCGCGCUGGUGUGGGCGGAGGGGCACUACAACGGCGCCAUCAAGACGCGCAAGACGGUGCAGCCGGCCGUCGCCCAGGCGCAGGCGCCGGCGCCGGCGGCGGAGGCAGCCGACCAGGCCCGGAGCCGGCAGCUGCGGGAGCUGUUCGACUCGCUGGCCAGGGAGGCUGCCGCAGGCGGCGGGCCAGGCUUCAGGGACGUCCACGGCUGCGCCCAGGAGGCUCGGCGGCCCAGCGCGGCGCUGGCGCCGGAAGACCUGACGGAGACGGAGUGGUUCUAUCUCAUGUCCGCCUCCUACUCCUUCCCUCCCGGCGUCGGGGACGAGCUUACCCACCACCUUUUCGAUGAGAGGCUGCAAAUCGAUCCUCCACCGACGGUGCAUAGACAGAGGUACCCCGAGAUAUAUCAUGGGGAAAGUGACCUACUUGGCAGGAAAACUCUUGAGGACCUUGUCAAGUUCGAUGUCAAUGCAUCAGAUGGGCGCCACAAGCAUCUUCUCCAAGUUCGUCACAAGCAUGGAUCCGAAGUGCUCCUGGGUCAACUUCUCUUUCUCAUCAUGAUGCACCAUUGCGGAGCCGGUGGACGAAGUUCUUCCUUCUACGGGUAUUCACAUGAAGGUGACACAAAAUCACGUGUUGGCGGCACCCUCAGGUUACCUGGAAGGGCCUUUGCAAUGGGAGGGCACGUAUGGCUUAGUAGAGCAAAUGAAGUUGACAGCAAGGCCUUCUCAAGAGCAAUACUUGCCAGGGGGAAGACACACACUGGUCAGCCAAAGCCAGAGCCAAACAAGUUCACACCGGAAUACGAUGACGAUGAAAUGGAGUACGAUGACAACGAGAUCGACACGGAAUGCGCGUCAGGGAGGAGCAGCGAGCUGAUGCAGGUUGAGAUGUCGGAAAGGGUGAGAGAUGGCUGCUCAAGCAACCUUGGCGAUGAGAUCCAAAUGCUAAUGGUUUGCCAGAACAGCGGUGAUCAUUCCAAUUUACAUGGGCAAGAUGAGCCCUGGCAUUUUCUCUAUGAGGAGUUAUGCAGUGGCUACCCUCAGUCGUCAGGUGAAGACCAAGCAAUGGCUGAAAAUGCUCACUACGCACACACAGUCUCGCUGAUCCUGCAUCGCAACAACGCCCUGAGACAGUCAGACGGGCCGAACACCAGGUCCUACCUGGCAGUCUCACACCAAUCUUCAUUCUCCAGAUGGGAUGCUGGCAUCCAUGGACGCGCGGUCGCCGAAGGCACCACCCGGCAGAAGAUGCUCAAGAGUGUCCUCCUGUUCUUCAAUGCUGCCUGCAACAAGCCACCGGGUGAUCUCAGGUGCGACGAUGCCGGUGCGCGAAGGGAGGUCGACUUCGGCGCCAGCCAUGUCAUGCAGGAGCGGAAGAGAAGGGAGAAGCUCAACGAGCGGUUCAUCGUCCUGCGUUCCCUGAUGGACAAGGCCUCGAUCCUCGGCGACACGAUCGAGUACGUGAAGCAGCUGACCAAACGCAUCCAGGACCUUGAGUCCUCUGUGGCCAGGCAGCAGGUUCACGGUGACCUGCUGGUGCCCAAGGGGUCGUCAGAGAGGCGUGCGCUGAUGGGCAUGGAAGGGCCCAGCAGCAGCAGCGGUAGCAGCAGCAGCGCCCCUGUGGCCACGGACGUGCAGGUCUCCAUCAUCGAGAGCGACGCGCUGCUGGAGCUCCGGUGCCCCGACAGGCGCGGCCUGCUGGUGACCAUCAUGCAGGCGCUCCAGGAGCAGCUCCGGCUCGAGGUCACCUCCGUCCAGGCCUCGUCGGACCGCGGCGUGCUGCUCGCGGAAAUGCGAGCCAAGGUGAGGGAGGUGCAUGGGAGGAGGAGCAGCAUUUCUCAAGUGAAGAGAGCGAUCCAUCUCAUCAUCUCAUCGGGAUGA